Molecule: ribosomal RNA, 466 nt
Filed under: Vreelandella stevensii
Lineage: Bacteria; Pseudomonadati; Pseudomonadota; Gammaproteobacteria; Oceanospirillales; Halomonadaceae
Description: partial 16S ribosomal RNA
Rfam family: Bacterial small subunit ribosomal RNA
Source: RNAcentral
CCUACGGGAGGCAGCAGUGGGGAAUAUUGGACAAUGGGGGGCAACCCUGAUCCAGCCAUGCCGCGUGUGUGAAGAAGGCCCUCGGGUUGUAAAGCACUUUCAGUGAGGAAGAACGCCUGGUGGUUAAUACCCAUCAGGAAAGACAUCACUCACAGAAGAAGCACCGGCUAACUCCGUGCCAGCAGCCGCGGUAAUACGGAGGGUGCGAGCGUUAAUCGGAAUUACUGGGCGUAAAGCGCGCGUAGGUGGCUUGAUAAGCCGGUUGUGAAAGCCCCGGGCUCAACCUGGGAACGGCAUCCGGAACUGUCAAGCUAGAGUGCAGGAGAGGAAGGUAGAAUUCCCGGUGUAGCGGUGAAAUGCGUAGAGAUCGGGAGGAAUACCAGUGGCGAAGGCGGCCUUCUGGACUGACACUGACACUGAGGUGCGAAAGCGUGGGUAGCAAACAGGAUUAGAUACCCUUGUAGUC